RNAcentral lists this long non-coding RNA (914 nucleotides) under Canis lupus familiaris (dog). RNAcentral's name for it is "lncRNA (ENSCAFG00030022069.1)". The record is from RNAcentral. Lineage: Eukaryota; Metazoa; Chordata; Mammalia; Carnivora; Canidae.
AAAGGGUUGGUAAAAAAAAAAAAAGAAAGAAAGAAAGAAAAAAGAAAGAAAAAGAAAAAGAACUAAAAAUGGCCUUUUAUAAACAGGAGAAAUUGGUGAGCGAGGGCUCUGAUUAUGGGACAAUUCAGUUUCUGUUGAUACUUUGUGUGUCCCUGCCUCCCCCAUCCCUCCUCUGGGCAGAAUGGAACGAGGAUUUCAUGGGCUUUUCAUGGCUCCCAGCAAGGUAAGUCUGGCAGGUGGUCUCCUUAUUUUACAGCAGAGAGAAGAUUCCCAGGGACUGGGGGGUCCUUGCUAGUAAAUGACAGCAGGGGACAUUGAAGCCGAGGUCCCCACUCCUGCUUCAUUCAGCAUGCCAGUGCCUUGUCCUCCAGAAGUAUGCCGCAGUACUUGGCCACGGUCUGUAUUAAUCAGUCCUUCGGGGUUUUCUGGAAAUGAUAAGAUGAUGGACUACAAUGUUCGGCUCCCUUGGCAAGUAUUCAGCACAUGAGAGCUACAGUAAAAAUGAGCAACAAAGCAGUGGGCUAGGACCUGAGUGGAGGGAAAAACAAACAAAAUACCUAACCAGAUGACUCGAAGAUUCUGCUUCCUUCCUAAGAAGGGUUUCCUUUUCGUUCGGCUUUCCCCGACCUGGAGCACACAGCACUCACCCGCCGCGGGCCUUUCCCCUCCCGGGCUCAUCAGCCUGGGCUCCUGUGGCUUCUGUCUGCCCUCGCUUUGGUUUCGUUAGAAAUACACCUGCAUCCAAAGCUGAUUCCACCACUUUCCAGCUGUGAGACUUGGGACUUUCUGGUCCCUCUCCCUCCUUGCUAAAAUGUGGAUAAAAACCCCCAUCAGAGAGGCAUGCGAAGGGCCACAGGCUCCACGUGGGAAGCGGUGCCUUCUGAGGCCUGACCUGCUGCGCACAUGUUAAGGAG